RNAcentral lists this ribosomal RNA (255 nucleotides) under uncultured bacterium. RNAcentral's name for it is "partial 16S ribosomal RNA". It matches the Rfam family "Bacterial small subunit ribosomal RNA", at positions 524 to 776 of the family's 1533-position model. The record is from RNAcentral.
UACGUAGGGGGCGAGCGUUGUCCGGAUUUAUUGGGCGUAAAGAGCUCGUAGGCGGCUUAGCAAGUCGGGUGUGAAAACUCCAGGCUCAACCUGGAGACGCCACUCGAGACUGCUAUGGCUAGAGUCCGGUAGGGGACCACGGAAUUCCUGGUGUAGCGGUGAAAUGCGCAGAUAUCAGGAGGAACACCGGUGGCGAAGGCGGGUCUCUGGGCCGAUAUCGUGCGCUGAGGAGCGAAAGCGUGGGGAGCGAACAGG